RNAcentral lists this long non-coding RNA (5148 nucleotides) under Capsicum annuum. Its description in RNAcentral is "long non-coding RNA (CANN_LNC012910)". Lineage: Eukaryota; Viridiplantae; Streptophyta; Magnoliopsida; Solanales; Solanaceae. The record is from RNAcentral.
UUUUUGUUUGCACUGACGAUGCAUACAAGUUAAUUUCUAUAUUGCCCUUGAACUUUGUAAUAUAUUGUAGAUUUGCCCCCACUUUAUAUUGUUGAGGUCAAAUUUAUCAUCAUCAUUAUCAAUAAUUUAUUUUAAAAUAACACUAUAUAUAGAUGGUUCUUGGUGCAUGUUAUGUAACACGUGCUAACUUGCACCCUGACGUGAUGGCAAGACGAGGAAGACAACAGCAAAGUCACCAGUGAUGCCGGAAGGUUUGGAUACUACUGCUAAAGAACACCAAGGACGAACAAUAACACCUGAUGCUGGUCUACUCCACAUUCUUGCCCUAUUGAAACGGGGUAGCUGGUUACUAGUAAAGGAAAAGAUUGAGACGAUGAUUCUAGUGCCUAAUGAUGAAGCCAACAUCUCGAAGAAUCGAUCGGAGAUGGUUCUUGGUGCAUGUUAUGUAACACGUGCUAACUUGCACCCUGACGUGAUGGCAAGACGAGGAAGACAACAGCAAAGUCACCAGUGAUGCCGGAAGGUUUGGAUACUACUGCUAAAGAACACCAAGGACGAACAAUAACACCUGAUGCUGGUCUACUCCACAUUCUUGCCCUAUUGAAACGGGGUAGCUGGUUACUAGUAAAGGAAAAGAUUGAGACGAUGAUUCGAGUGCCUAAUGAUGAAGCCAACUUCUAGAAGAAUCGUUCGGAAGACGAACCUGUGAUCUCAAAUACGGUGCGGAAGCUAAGCUUUAUUACUCCACAUGUGGAAGUAACCUUGCCACCUCCAGUAAAAUAAAUUCCAAUUGAAGGUAAUCAUCAGAUCCAAAAUGGCUUGCAACUCACUUACAUUCCCCCUAUAAUGAAAGAUGGUCGAAAGGUGGUAUAAAUUAGUUCAACGGAGGUGAAAGCUGAGUGUCAUAAAUUGGAAAAUGCUCUAAUAGGACAUGUAAUGGGGCUACUCCAAGCUUUAAGGAUAUAAUCAAAUUUGUCUAUAGUGUGUGGAAUUAUGUGGAAGCACCUAGGGUUUAUCACCAUGAUGAGGGUUAUUUCAUAUUCUUAUUUGCCACAACUGAAGAUAAUUCCUAAACUCUGCAAAAUGGCCCUUAUACAUAUAAUAACAGACCUAUGAUUUAGAGGAUUUGGGAGAAGAACUUUAAAUUUACUCCUGAGAUGCUGCAAAUUGUUCCUCUAUGGGUUACAUUACUAGGGCUUCAAGUUUAUUAUUGGUCAAAGGAGAAUUUGAGUAGAAUUGCUAGCAAAAUUGGGAAGCCAAUUUGUGCCAAUCGAUUGACUGCAGAGAUUGAACGUAACUCAUUUAUGAGACUCUUUAUAGAAGUGGAUGUAACUCAGGCUCUACCCACAGAAAUCUAUAUUGAAGAGGAAGGUUCGAUCCGAACUCAACAAGUGGAUUAUGAUUGGCAUCCUAUAGCAUGCCCUGACUGUGAGAAGUGGGAUCAUGAACAAGGUGCCUACACAUAGGAAAAGAAUGAACCAAGAAUAGAACCAGAGUUAAUCAGACCCCAAGCUCCCAGAAAAAGAAGAUUCAAACAUAUGUAGUUGCCUCAAAAUACCAAGAUAAAUGUCCAAGAGACUACUUUGCAGAAUAAUAAGAAAGGUGGUGACAUUGGUGAGAAUUUGAACUGUACACAUCAAGGGCCCGAUGGGAAGUCAGCAACUUCAGAAGGAGAAAAGGUAACACAGAGGACUAUACCAAAGGAGCAAAUUGAAGCGCUAAACAGGGCUAAAUCACCUGAUUAGGGGCUUCUAAAUGAUAAUAAGUGCCUGGAACAUUAGAGGGCUAAAUAAGCCCUUUAAGCAGAAGGAACUAAAAGCCUUUCUGCUAAAGUAUAAGGUGGAUAUAAUAGGUGUUUUAGAAACAAAAAUACAGGCUCAUAAUGCUGAUAUAUUAAAGAAAGUGUGUUGCAAGGAAUGGAAUAUUUUUACAGAUUAUCCUACUACUUUGAAUGGUAGGUUAUUGUUAUUGCAGAGGGGGAAAAAGGUUAAGGUUACUGUGAUAGAUACUGCAGCACAUUUAAUACAUUGCAAAGUUGAAGAUAUAGACACUACCUUUUACAACAACAUGACUUUUAUUUAUGGACAUAAUACUAUGACUGAAAGGAGUCUGUGGAGCCACUUGAAGUCUUUAGCCAAGCAAUGUAAUGAGCCUUGGAUUAUACUAGGGGAUUUCAAUGCAGUGUUGUCACACUCUGAUAGACUGAAUGGAGAGUUGGUCACUCCCCAAGAAACUAAAUACUUUCAAGACUACUUGGAUGAGAUAGAGAUGGGACAAAUGUUGUGCAUGGAGAGACAUAUGACUUAGUGUAAUAAAAGAGAUGGAGUGGCUAGAAUUUAUUCACACAUUGACUGGGUGUUUGGGAAUAAAUAUCGGUUUUAGCACUAUAAUUACAUUGAGGCAGAAUAUGUUGAACCGGGUUGUUCUGAUCAUUCACCAGUACUGCUGACUACUAAAACCCAACAUUCAUAUUUAAGAAAACUUUUUAGGCUACUAAAUGUAAUGCUACAUCAGGACAAAUUCAAAGGCAUGAUGGAAGACGUAUGGAAUAUGCAAAUACAAGGGCAUGUUAUGUAUAAAAUCCGGAGAAAAUUACGUAUAUUAGCCUAGAGAUCAAAGCAGCUGCACUCAAGAAAGGAUUAUCCUUCAAGAGUUAGAGAAAUGGGAGGAGGCCUAUGAAAGAGAACUGAAGCAAAAAUCCAGAGCCACCUGGAUUAAGCUUGGUGAUAGGAACUCCAAAUAUUUCGUUGCUCAUUUGAAGGUAAGGCAAGCAAGAAAUAGAAUAGCUUCAAUAUAUAAUUAGCAAGGGAUUAAUCUCUCAGACCCUGCACUAGUCCAACAAAAGUUUAUCUAGUUUUUUUAAAGUCUACUGGGCACAACAACACCUACCCUUCCUAGAAUUGAUUUGAGAGUAGAAAGAGAUGGACCUUGCCUUAUAGUGCUCCAAAAAGAACAACUGCUAUCUCCAGUAACUAGAAAAGAAGUAGAACAAGCUCGGAAGGAUCUCCCUAUUGACAAAAGCCCAGGUAUUGAUGGUUACAAUGCUGAAUUUUUCAAAACUUAUUGGUCUGUUAUAGGAGAAGAGGUGAUUACUGGAAUAAUUCAAUUUUUUGAAAAUGGUAAACUAUUGAAAGGUGUCAACACUACUACAAUUACCCUUUUCCUAAAAGUUUCUUCCCCAUCUUAUGAAAAGGAAUAUAGACCAAUUGCUUGCUGCGCUACCUUAUAUAAACUGAUUGCUAAAAUAUUGACUGCUAGACCCAAAACAGUGGUGGAUUUUCUGGUCAGCUCUAUUCAGUCAGCCUUUAUUGAAGGUAGAAGCAUCCUUGAAUUAAUGGUGGGUUGACUCCACAGUUUCAAGCAAAAAAGGGACUGAGACAAGGAGAUCCCAUGUCUCUCUAUUUAUUUGUCCUAGCUAUGGAGUACCUUCAUAGAAAUUUUCAAUAAGUAAGGCAUAAUCUACAAUUCAAUUACCAUCCAAGGUGUGAAAAGUUAGGUAUUAUUCAUAUUUUUUUUCUGAUGACCUGCUAAUGAGUUGUAGGGCUAAUGAUAUAUCAAUUAAAUUGUUGUUCAAUGCAUUCCAGCAAUUCUCUGAAGUGUCAGGUCUUCAUGCCAAUAUGGAGAAAAGUCCACUAUAUAUUGCUGGGGUAGAAGAUGAAUUUAGAGACAAAAUGCUGACUGAUUUAGGUCUAUCCUUGGGUUCUUUUCCUUUCAAGUACCUAGUAGUGCCCUUGUCAACUAAAAAGUUAUCAUUCCAGCAGUGUAUGCCAAUAGUGAAGAAGAUCAUAGCAAGAGUUAAAUAUUGGUCUUUUAAAACUGUUAUCCUACAGUGGUAGACUUCAGCUAGUUAAGAGUGUUCUCUUUGAAAUGCAAACUUAGUGGGCCCAGAUUUUUCUCCUCCCUAAGAAGAUCCUAACACUAGUGACUACAGUGUGUAGGACUUUCUUAUGGACUGGUAGUAAUAAGUGCUCAAAGAAGGCUCUAGUUGCUUUGGAAAUAAUUUGUAUGCCCAAAACAACAGGUGGCUUAAAUUUCAUUGACCUCAUUAGAUGGAAUAGGGCAGCAAUUUGCAAGCCAUUAUAGGCAGUGGAACAAAAACAAGAUAAGACUAUGGUUCUCUGGAUCCAUGCUUACUAUAUAAAGUCCAACAGUAUUGAUACAAUUCAAACCCCAAAGCAAGCAAGCUGGUUAGUCAGGAAGAUAAUUGAUGCUAGAAAAUGGCUUGAAGGGGCAGGCACUAUACCAACCAAGCUGCAAGUAUAUAGUAGGCCUACAGGAUACUACAAUAAAAAGAGUUACUUGGGAAUGAUGCCUCAGCAUCCCAAAGUUGAAAGGAGCAGACUCGUGUUAGUUCAAGGUCAACUCCCCAGGCAGAAAUUCAUUUUGUGGUUAGCUUUGCAUAGCAGGUUGAAUACUGUUGAUAGAAUACUACAGUGGGGAAAACAGUGACUAUAGACUGUGUGCUGUGUAAAGGACAGAUAAUGGAAACUCCUGACCACCUAUUCUUUGAUUGUCCAUAUUCUUCAAGCAUAUGGACAAGGCUCUUAAAGUGGCUAGGCUACAGAAGGAUCAGAGGAGGCUGGAACCAGGAAAUGGCAUGGCUAACUAAGAAGAUCAGUAAUAAUAGACCUCAAGCAGGAUUGCUUGGAUUCUGCUAUGCUGCAGUAGUUUAUCAAAUCUAGGCUGAAAGAAAUGCUAGAUGAUUCAGAAAUCAGGCAAAAGAGACUACACAAAAACUUCGUGAAAUGGCAUUGCAACUCCAUAUUGCAGGUCAUCAUCCUAAAUGGGGACCAAAGCUACAACAAAUGAACAUGUAUCCUAGCUAGCUGAUUAGUUGUAUGUCUUUAUCUUAUUAAAGCUAGUUUAGAUAUAAUGUAAGCAACUUUGAGACUGCAAAGUUUAAACUUAUAGGAUUAUGAGUAGCCAGUCUGGGUCCAAAAAGACUGGCAUGUUUGUAAUUUUGCACUUUUGGUUAAAUGAAAAAAUUUACGAUUUGACCCAAAAAAAAAGAAUUUUCAAAACCCGAAAAAGUAGAUGCAAUGACGCCCACCCUAUCCCCAGUAAGUUAGACUUCACAUUCAUAAAUAUCUUAAAUAAAUAAAUAUGUAAGAUGGAUAUACUAACGAAUAAAUCAAAGUCGACUUUCAG